GUCGGAAUUCUGGCUGUUCUAAUUUCUCGACAAACAUAUGAUUAGGGCCUAAAAGCCAACUGUCAAAAUCCACUUUGAAUGGAAAUUCCCGACAAACCGUUACACGCCAAUCACAGAUGUUGGUAGUAAACGAAAGAGAAAAGUUUUCUCUUUCAUAAACUGUUGUGAACUGUGUUCGACUAGUAACGGUUUGCCUGGAAUUUCCAUUCAAAGUGGAUUUUGACAGUUGGCUUUUAGGCCGUAAUCAUAUGUUUGUCGAGAUUUGUAUAUACGAAUAAAUUAUUUAAAUUUUAAAAUAAUUUAAUAAUAAUUUAAAUAAUAAAAAAUAUUAAUAAAAAUAUUUUUUUAAUAAUAAAUUUUAAUUUAAUUAAUAAUAUAAAAAUUCAAUAAAAUAAUUAAUUUAAUAAAAAUUAAAAAUUGUAACGGACAACUGAGUAAACAACCUAAAAAAUGGUUAUUUUCAACCAUAAUCAGAUUCGCUUCAACCGAGGGGACCGACACUCCGUGAUUUGGUGAUGAAAUGAAGUAAUUUAUAAUUCUACACACAAAAAAAUUUGUGAAGUUUAUUUCAACAAAAACCAUUGUAACUGAACAACCUACUAAUAAUGAUUGCAGUAAACCAGAAAAAUAUUCAUGCUAAACAAAACUUUUUGUUAAAAGAAUCCAAAUAUAUUGGUUAAAAUUUCAACAAAUUUUCUUGUUAAAUCUAAUGAUAAGAUUGUUGAUGUAAUCGUUUGAACUUUUCAUUUCGAUAUCGUUUUCUACUUUGUUUUGACAACUUUAGAGUGAGCAAUACCCACACAACUUUUCCAGUGAACGGCGAUUCGAUAACGAGUAGCGAAAGGAAACCUUCUACAUGCCGGCAUGUAUUUUCCAACACUGGGAAAAAUCAAUUUGCUUCAAUCUGCUUUAGAUCGUUACAUUUGACUGUGUGUUUUAAAAUGUCAACUCAAGGAAAGCGAUUUUUUCACCCGGGUUAAUUUGUCCGGCUUUCGGGACGAAUUUUGUUCAUACUUUUAGUUAUAGCUUUUGGCUUUUCAAGUUGCCAAACUUACAACAAUUAAGAGAAAGCUGGACCGCGGAUAUUUAUACACAUAUUCCCAAAUUGGUUGGAUGGAAAUUAUCGCCUUUAACUCGCAUUUCUAUAUCUGUUGACCGGACCGGAGCCGAUAUUACAACGUGAACCCAAAAAAAGCAGAUUACAGCGUUGGGCCACAAGUGGAGAAAAAUUCAGUGCGUCGUGUUCUGACAGGAUUGUGAGCUUGACGAUAUGGAAUAUGAAACAUUCACGCCGCAAAAAAGAUAUAUCAUAUCUGUGUUCGGAGCAUAAUUGAAAGUGGUCAAAAUCCAUCAGCAGCAAAAAAAUCUAAUUCUUUUUCUCAGGCCAUGGUGAUCAUAUGUUCUUAGCGGCAUAAAAACUUUAAAUGUAUGUUGAAAUUGUCUAGGUUAUGAUUUUAUUUGGAAUUGGGCGACGUCUAUUGAUAUUUGCAGAACACGUUUCGGUGUUCUCUUCAACGUUUUGCCUUUUUUUAUCUAGAUUAAUAUAGUCGAAACGUUGGAGAGAACAUCAAAGUCUGUGCUGAAAAUACCCUAGAUUGGCGACCGCAAUUUCAAAUAAAAUUGUAUUUAUGUCGCAAAUAAAUGUUUAUUUAAUAAAUCGGAUUAUUAUGUCAAA
Long non-coding RNA from Topomyia yanbarensis, 1675 nucleotides. RefSeq lists it as uncharacterized. Lineage: Eukaryota; Metazoa; Arthropoda; Insecta; Diptera; Culicidae. The transcript is spliced from 2 exons. The record is from RefSeq and is a predicted model, not a curated record.